RNAcentral lists this ribosomal RNA (871 nucleotides) under uncultured Planctomycetota bacterium. RNAcentral describes it as "bacterial SSU rRNA". It matches the Rfam family "Bacterial small subunit ribosomal RNA", at positions 8 to 878 of the family's 1533-position model. Lineage: Bacteria; Pseudomonadati; Planctomycetota. The record is from RNAcentral.
AGAGUUUGAUCCUGGCUCAGAAUGAACGUUGGCGGCGUGGAUUAGGCAUGCAAGUCGUGCGAGAAGGGUUCUUUUGCUUGCAUUAGGACCCGGAAAGCGGCGAAAGGGAGAGUAACGCGUGGAUUAUCUACCCCUGGAUCCGGGAUAGCUGUGGGAAACUACAGGUAAUACCGGAUAACGUCUCCGGACCAAAGGUGUGAUUCCGUCUGGGGAUGAGUCCGCGUCCUACUAGCUUGUUGGUGGGGUAAUGGCCUACCAAGGCAAUGAUGGGUACCGGGUGUGAGAGCAUGGCCCGGCUCACUGGGACUGAGACACUGCCCAGACACCUACGGGUGGCUGCAGUCGAGAAUCUUCCGCAAUGGGCGCAAGCCUGACGGAGCGACGCCGCGUGCGGGAUGAAGGCCUUCGGGUUGUAAACCGCUGUCAGUUGGGAGGAAAUGCAUAAGGGUACUCUCUUAUGUUUGACCGAUCUUCAGAGGAAGUCCGGGCUAAGUUCGUGCCAGCAGCCGCGGUAAGACGAACCGGACGAACGUUAUUCGGAAUUACUGGGCUUAAAGAGUGCGUAGGCGGCUUUGUAGGUGAGGUGUGAAAUCCCACGGCUCAACCGUGGAACUGCGCUUCAAACCACUUGGCUUGAGAGAGACAGAGGUAAGCGGAACUGAUGGUGGAGCGGUGAAAUGCGUUGAUAUCAUCAGGAACACCAGUGGCGAAGGCGGCUUACUGGGUCUCUUCUGACGCUGAGGCACGAAAGCUAGGGUAGCGAACGGGAUUAGAUACCCCGGUAGUCCUAGCUGUAAACGAUGAGCACUUGGUCGAGGAGACUUCCACAUCUUCUCGGCCGUAGCGAAAGUGUUAAGUGCUCCGCCUGGGG